This 476-nucleotide ribosomal RNA is filed under the name uncultured bacterium. RNAcentral describes it as "bacterial SSU rRNA". It matches the Rfam family "Bacterial small subunit ribosomal RNA", at positions 33 to 507 of the family's 1533-position model. The record is from RNAcentral.
ACGCUGGCGGCGUGCCUAACACAUGCAAGUCGAGCGGGAAGCUUCGGAUUUGAGACUUCGGUUGAUUUCUGAAGUGGAGAGCGGCGGACGGGUGAGUAACACGUGGGCAACCUGCCUCAUAGAGGGGAAUAGCCUCCCGAAAGGGAGAUUAAUACCGCAUAAGAUUGUAGCUUCGCAUGAAGUAGCAAUUAAAGGAGCAAUCCGCUAUGAGAUGGGCCCGCGGCGCAUUAGCUAGUUGGUGAGGUAACGGCUCACCAAGGCGACGAUGCGUAGCCGACCUGAGAGGGUGAUCGGCCACAUUGGGACUGAGACACGGCCCAGACUCCUACGGGAGGCAGCAGUGGGGAAUAUUGCACAAUGGGGGAAACCCUGAUGCAGCAACGCCGCGUGAGUGAUGACGGCCUUCGGGUUGUAAAGCUCUGUCUUCAGGGACGAUAAUGACGGUACCUGAGGAGGAAGCCACGGCUAACUACGUG